AAAGCGCGCGUUAGGCGGCCAAUUAAGUCAAAUGUGAAAUCCCCGAGCUUAACUUGGGAAUUGCAUUCGAUACUGGUUGGCUAGAGUGUGGGAGAGGAUGGUAGAAUUCCAGGUGUAGCGGUGAAAUGCGUAGAGAUCUGGAGGAAUACCGAUGGCGAAGGCAGCCAUCUGGCCUAACACUGACGCUGAGGUGCGAAAGCAUGGGGAGCAAACAGGAUUAGAUACCCUGGUAGUCCAUGCCGUAAACGAUGUCUACUAGCCGUUGGGGCCUUUGAGGCUUUAGUGGCGCAGCUAACGCGAUAAGUAGACCGCCUGGGGAGUACGGUCGCAAGACUAAAACUCAAAUGAAUUGACGGGGGCCCGCACAAGCGGUGGAGCAUGUGGUUUAAUUCGAUGCAACGCGAAGAACCUUACCUGGCCUUGACAUAGUAGAAACUUUCCAGAGAUGGAUUGGUGCCUUCGGGAAUCUACAUACACGAUGCUGCAUGGCUGUCGUUCAGCUCGUGUCGUGAGAUGUUGGGUUAAGUCCCGCAACGAGCGCAACCCUUUUCCUUUACUUGCCAGCAUUGCGGAUGGGGAACUUUAAGGAUACUGCCAGUGACAAAACUGGAGGAAGGCGGGGGAACGACGUCAAGUCAUCAUGGCCCUUACCGGCCAGGG
This 660-nucleotide ribosomal RNA is filed under the name Acinetobacter soli. Its description in RNAcentral is "bacterial SSU rRNA". It matches the Rfam family "Bacterial small subunit ribosomal RNA", at positions 562 to 1213 of the family's 1533-position model. Lineage: Bacteria; Pseudomonadati; Pseudomonadota; Gammaproteobacteria; Moraxellales; Moraxellaceae. The record is from RNAcentral.